This 253-nucleotide ribosomal RNA is filed under the name uncultured bacterium. RNAcentral's name for it is "partial 16S ribosomal RNA". It matches the Rfam family "Bacterial small subunit ribosomal RNA", at positions 524 to 776 of the family's 1533-position model. The record is from RNAcentral.
UACGGAGGGGACUAGCGUUGUUCGGAAUUACUGGGCGUAAAGCGCGCGUAGGCGGAUUUGCAAGUCGGGGGUGAAAGCCCGAGGCUCAACCUCGGAACUGCCUUCGAUACUGCAAAUCUCGAGUCCGAGAGAGGUGAGUGGAAUUCCUAGUGUAGAGGUGAAAUUCGUAGAUAUUCGGAAGAACACCAGUGGCGAAGGCGACUUACUGGACACAUAUUGACGCUGAGGUGCGAAAGCGUGGGGAGCAAACAGG